Molecule: non-coding RNA, 72 nt
Organism: Pangasianodon gigas (Mekong giant catfish)
Lineage: Eukaryota; Metazoa; Chordata; Actinopteri; Siluriformes; Pangasiidae
Source: the annotation of a GenBank genome assembly
ACUUUGUAUUUACUGUUGUUGGAUCUUCUGAGCGUUUGGAUUUUUGCCUUUUUUUUCUGAUUUUUGGUUUCU